UGGAUUGGGUUAGAUUGGAUUGG
Molecule: microRNA, 23 nt
Filed under: Monodelphis domestica (gray short-tailed opossum)
Lineage: Eukaryota; Metazoa; Chordata; Mammalia; Didelphimorphia; Didelphidae
Description: mdo-miR-7267-5p
Source: miRBase by way of RNAcentral